GAUGAACGCUAGCUACAGGCUUAACACAUGCAAGUCGAGGGGUAACGAGAGGAAAGCUUGCUUUCCUUGUCGACGACCGGCGCACGGGUGAGUAACGCGUAUCCAACCUGCCCCCAACUAAGGAAUAACCUUGCGAAAGUAAGACUAAUACCUUAUAAUUUCCUCAGAUGUCAUCUGACGAGGAAUAAAGAUUUAUCGGUUGUGGAUGGGGUGGCGUCUGAUUAGCUUGUUGGCUGGGUAACGGCCCACCAAGGCAACGAUCAGUUGGGGUUCUGAGAGGAAGGUCCCCCACAUUGGAACUGAGACACGGUCCAAACUCCUACGGGAGGCAGCAGUGAGGAAUAUUGGUCAGUGGGCGAAAGCCUGAACCAGCCAAGUAGCGUGCAGGAUGACGGCCCUAUGGGUUGUAAACUGCUUUUAUACAGGAAUAAAGUUAGCCACGUGUGGUUAUUUGUAGGUACUGUAUGAAUAAGGACCGGCUAAUUCCGUGCCAGCCGCCGCAGUAA
RNAcentral lists this ribosomal RNA (506 nucleotides) under uncultured bacterium. RNAcentral describes it as "partial 16S ribosomal RNA". It matches the Rfam family "Bacterial small subunit ribosomal RNA", at positions 28 to 523 of the family's 1533-position model. The record is from RNAcentral.